This 1490-nucleotide ribosomal RNA is filed under the name Helicobacter pylori. Its description in RNAcentral is "16S ribosomal RNA". It matches the Rfam family "Bacterial small subunit ribosomal RNA". Lineage: Bacteria; Pseudomonadati; Campylobacterota; Epsilonproteobacteria; Campylobacterales; Helicobacteraceae. The record is from RNAcentral.
AGAGUUUGAUCCUGGCUCAGAGUGAACGCUGGCGGCGUGCCUAAUACAUGCAAGUCGAACGAUGAAGCUUCUAGCUUGCUAGAAUGCUGAUUAGUGGCGCACGGGUGAGUAACGCAUAGGUCAUGUGCCUCUUAGUUUGGGAUAGCCAUUGGAAACGAUGAUUAAUACCAGAUACUCCCUACGGGGGAAAGAUUUAUCGCUAAGAGAUCAGCCUAUGUCCUAUCAGCUUGUUGGUAAGGUAAUGGCUUACCAAGGCUAUGACGGGUAUCCGGCCUGAGAGGGUGAACGGACACACUGGAACUGAGACACGGUCCAGACUCCUACGGGAGGCAGCAGUAAGGAAUAUUGCUCAAUGGGGGAAACCCUGAAGCAGCAACGCCGCGUGGAGGAUGAAGGUUUUAGGAUUGUAAACUCCUUUUGUUAGAGAAGAUAAUGACGGUAUCUAACGAAUAAGCACCGGCUAACUCCGUGCCAGCAGCCGCGGUAAUACGGAGGGUGCAAGCGUUACUCGGAAUCACUGGGCGUAAAGAGCGCGUAGGCGGGAUAGUCAGUCAGGUGUGAAAUCCUAUGGCUUAACCAUAGAACUGCAUUUGAAACUACUAUUCUAGAGUGUGGGAGAGGUAGGUGGAAUUCUUGGUGUAGGGGUAAAAUCCGUAGAGAUCAAGAGGAAUACUCAUUGCGAAGGCGACCUGCUGGAACAUUACUGACGCUGAUUGCGCGAAAGCUGGGGAGCAAACAGGAUUAGAUACCCUGGUAGUCCACGCCCUAAACGAUGGAUGCUAGUUGUUGGAGGGCUUAGUCUCUCCAGUAAUGCAGCUAACGCAUUAAGCAUCCCGCCUGGGGAGUACGGUCGCAAGAUUAAAACUCAAAGGAAUAGACGGGGACCCGCACAAGCGUGGAGCAUGUGGUUUAAUUCGAUUCUACACGAAGAACCUUACCUAGGCUUGACAUUGAGAGAAUCCGCUAGAAAUAGUGGAGUGUCUGGCUUGCCAGACCUUGAAAACAGGUGCUGCACGGCUGUCGUCAGCUCGUGUCGUGAGAUGUUGGGUUAAGUCCCGCAACGAGCGCAACCCCUUUUCUUAGUUGCUAACAGGUUAUGCUGAGAACUCUAAGGAUACUGCCUCCGUAAGGAGGAGGAAGGUGGGGACGACGUCAAGUCAUCAUGGCCCUUACGCCUAGGGCUACACACGUGCUACAAUGGGGUGCACAAAGAGAAGCAAUACUGCGAAGUGGAGCCAAUCUUCAAAACACCUCUCAGUUCGGAUUGUAGGCUGCAACUCGCCUGCAUGAAGCUGGAAUCGCUAGUAAUCGCAAAUCAGCCAUGUUGCGGUGAAUACGUUCCCGGGUCUUGUACUCACCGCCCGUCACACCAUGGGAGUUGUGUUUGCCUUAAGUCAGGAUGCUAAAUUGGCUACUGCCCACGGCACACACAGCGACUGGGGUGAAGUCGUAACAAGGUAACCGUAGUGAACCUGCGGCUGGAUCACCUC